This 947-nucleotide ribosomal RNA is filed under the name uncultured bacterium. RNAcentral's name for it is "bacterial SSU rRNA". It matches the Rfam family "Bacterial small subunit ribosomal RNA", at positions 338 to 1278 of the family's 1533-position model. The record is from RNAcentral.
CCUACGGGAGGCAGCAGUCGGGAAUUUUGGGCAAUGGGCGAAAGCCUGACCCAGCAACGCCGCGUGAAGGAUGAAGCUUUUCGGAGUGUAAACUUCAUAAGAAUGGGACGAAUAAGUGGGGGAUAAUACCCCCCAUGAUGACGGUACCAUUUGUAAGCUCCGGCUAACUCCGUGCCAGCAGCCGCGGUAAUACGGGGGGAGCAAGCGUUGUUCGGAUUUACUGGGCGUAAAGGGCGCGUAGGCGGCGCAACAAGUCACUUGUGAAAUCUCCGGGCUUAACCCGGAGCGGCCAAGUGAUACUGUCGUGCUAGAGUGCGGAAGGGGCUACUGGAAUUCUCGGUGUAGCGGUGAAAUGCGUAGAUAUCGAGAGGAACACCUGCGGCGAAGGCGGGUAGCUGGGCCGACACUGACGCUGAGGCGCGAAAGCCAGGGGAGCGAACGGGAUUAGAUACCCCGGUAGUCCUGGCCUUAAACGAUGGAUACUUGGUGUCCGGGGUUACAUAGUCCCCGGGUGCCGGCGCUAACGCAUUAAGUAUCCCGCCUGGGGAGUACGGUCGCAAGACCGAAACUCAAAGGAAUUGACGGGGACCCGCACAAGCGGUGGAGCAUGUGGUUUAAUUCGACGCAACGCGAAGAACCUUACCUGGGCUAGAAUGCCUCUGACAACCCUGGAGACAGGGCCUUCUGGGUAAAACCAGACAGAGUGCAAGUGCUGCAUGGCUGUCGUCAGCUCGUGUCGUGAGAUGUUGGGUUAAGUCCCGCAACGAGCGCAACCCUUGUCAGUAGUUGCCAGCGGGUUAGGCCGGGCACUCUACUGAGACUGCCGUUGAUAAACCGAGACGUGGGGAUGACGUCAAGUCCUCAUGGCCCUUUAUGUCAGGGCUACCCACGUGCUACAAUGGCAGGUACAAACCGUCGCAACCUCCCAGAGGGGAGCCAAUCGGAAA